CAAUUAAAAGUUUUGUUUUUUUUUUAUAAAAUAAACUAAUUCGUUUUGUUAAGUUUCCAAGUUAGUUAGUUAAGUUGGUAGUAGUCACAAUAGUCUAGGGACCCAUUUGUGGGAAAGCUAAAAGUAUAAAAAAAAAAAAAAGAAACUAAAUGAACGGUGGAAACCAUGGAAAUCAUUUUUGAACAAAAAAAAAAUUGAAGGUUCAUAUUGAAACCUUUUGCCGCCCAACAGGAUGCCAUGCCAGCGAAACUUUGCUUCACAUUUCCUUUUAUUUCAUGAUUUCCUUUUGAAACAACCAUAUCUCCUUAGAAAUUUCCACUGAUUUCUCGAGAAUUAUAAUCAAUUCCACAUUUCUUUUUUUGAAACCAAUCACGAACCUAACCAUUGCUCACGGCCGCAUACAUUAUCGUCUAAUCAAUUCCCUAAUCAUCGACAACUUUGACCUUCGCUGAUUGACAUCAUGUACGCGUUUCCUGUUUUCGAUCAAUCACGAUUUCGUUUCCUAACUUACGAGUCAUGCGAGUGCUAUAAGAACCGAAGCCUUCUUCACCGAUUUACCCACACAACUCCGCAACAUUGUUUCGCACAUCCCUCUUCACGAUUCGACACCCUCACAACUCCGCAACACCUUCGCACAACUUGCACACUAGUUGGAGUCCUACCGGAGUAAACCACAGCCUACCGGAGAUCGACGGCGACGCCGGAGACGGUCGCCAGAACCAAGGUUCAAGUCGGAAACUUACGUCGCCAUGUUUCGGUUGAUUUAUCAAGAUACAAGAAAGCAAGCUAGGAUGGCCUAGAAACUCAUUUUAGAAAUAAACUAUUGUUUGAAUUUAUAUUUGGAUGUUUGAAACUUUGUAUUAUCCUUUAGUAUCUAAUAAAAUGAUUUAAUUUAUAUUGUCA
Molecule: long non-coding RNA, 903 nt
Organism: Helianthus annuus (common sunflower)
Lineage: Eukaryota; Viridiplantae; Streptophyta; Magnoliopsida; Asterales; Asteraceae
Exons: 2
Source: RefSeq, a predicted model, not a curated record